UACAGAGGGUGCAAGCGUUAAUCGGAAUUACUGGGCGUAAAGCGCGCGUAGGUGGUUUGUUAAGUUGGAUGUGAAAAUCCCCCGGGCGUCAACCUACGGGAACGUAGCAUUCUAAAACUAGACAAGCCAGAGUAUGGUAGAGGGUGGUGGAAUUUCCUGUGUAGCGGUGAAAUGCGUAGAUAUAGGAAGGAACACCAGUGGCGAAGGCGGCUAUCUGGACGAACACUGACGCUGAGACACGAAAGCGUGGGGAGCAAACAGGAUUAGAAACCCGAGUAGU
Molecule: ribosomal RNA, 280 nt
Filed under: uncultured bacterium
Lineage: Bacteria
Description: partial 16S ribosomal RNA
Rfam family: Bacterial small subunit ribosomal RNA
Source: RNAcentral